Equus asinus (donkey) is the source of this 1887-nucleotide long non-coding RNA. The record is from Ensembl. Lineage: Eukaryota; Metazoa; Chordata; Mammalia; Perissodactyla; Equidae.
UCAUAGGAAGGUCUUUGAGAAAGGAUAUCCAGUUCAUUACAUCUUUUCCAUUUAGAACUAGACCAAAACCAUGACCAGCAGUAAGAAUCCAAACAGUUUUUAAAACUCCCCAUGGCAGAAACUGGCUAGAUAUUCACCAGAUACAUUUCCUCUUCCUAUGCACCCAGAUAAACUAUAUUUCCCCACUCACUUGCCCUUAGAAGUGGGGCCAUAUGACCAGUUCUUGUGAAUGAUAUGUGAGAAGGGAUGUGCCACUGCCCCACCAAGGCAGUUAGGAGGGCUGCACCUUCCCCACGUGCUCUCUCUUUCCCCCUGUCUGCUACCUGGAUGAUGCCAGGGUACCUUUGAGGUGACACACUGGAGAGAGCAGAGCCACAGCAUGGAAGGAGCUGAUCUUUAAAGGACUGUGCACAGAAGACCUUUCCCACACAAUGAAAUGCUCAGCCCCACCUCCCACCACUGACUGCAUUGAUGUUCAAGCAAAGAUGUCAGCAUAACAAUCCCAAUGCCAAACAUCAUUUCUGUAACCACGCCUUUUGACUUCUGUAUCGAUUGUGAGCAGUCUCUGCGUCAGAACCAUCGUCGAUGUGAUGAUCACCUCAGAUUUUUUCUAGGCUUUCCUGGCCAAGAGAGUGGUUCUCGGUCACCUUACUCCUUUGUCAGCUCCACUCUCCCCAGGUCCUGAUCUUGGAUAUCUUCCUGGAUUAUCUGAAUCACCAACCACGCUGGCCCAGGAAUGUGCCUCAGGAGGACUGUCUUGUCUACGAACUUGUUGGACGUGUGUAAAUUUGAUCACCACGACCUUGACUUGGAAGAACCAGAUUGCAGGCUCCACGCGACAGCAGACGGUGGCAGCAACUCGGAACUUAAUCUCUGAAUUCUAACUUGGGCCCAGUCAAGAGCGUCUGUCACUCUUAGAAACUUCAGCAAAACACUCCUAGUGUCUCAUGGGCUCCUUUGGGGUCGGUCACCCAUCCAUAAACCAACCACGACAGCCAAGGGAAUGGAAGGCUUGGCCAGGACGGAAUCACCUGACUCCACGUUCCAGGGCCCGAGGGAACCCACUGCGCGAGAGCUAUGUGGACUGAGGAUUCUGACCAGGAACGACGCCAAAACAAAGUGGCAGGGCUGUGUCUACAACAGGGGAGUUCAGAUGCCAGGCCACAACUCGGUUGUCCACUCUACAGCCUCACUUCUCCUCCAGGCUGGUUCUCCAUCUUACUAACACUAUCACCACUUUUUUGGGAUUACUUUUGACUUUUUCUCUUGUUUGAUCCCCAUACUUAUUUGGUCACCUGUAUAUGGUCGUGGGUGAGUGAAGUCUGAGUGGCGACUUCAGAGUAAAUGAGUGGCGACUUCAGGUGGGUAAAUCCCACCUCUGCUCUUUCCUAGCUGUAUAAAUUUGGGCAAGUUUACUACUCUUUGCCUAGUCUCCCCAUCUAAUAAAGUCUGCGUGUUAACAGGACCCUCUUCAUAGGGUUGCUGUGAGAAGUAAAUAAGCCAAUUCACAUAAAGCACUUAGACAAUAUCUGGCACAUAAAAACCAUUCUAUGCAUAUUAGCUAUUACUGUUAUGAUUAUUAUUCCCCCUCCACUUGGCACAGAGGUCAUAAAGAUUAAUAAUGGGGACACUUUAGCACAUGCUUAUUGGUUCCUGCGUGGUCCCACACUGCUUUUCCCGCUUUAUUUUCUGUUAUGUUCCAAUGUGGAGUUACUCUGGGAGGCUCCUUUCUUCUUUUCCUCGUAUUCCCUGUAUUCCUUAUUUUCAGCUUCUCUAUUUUGUUCAGUCUAUUCAUUUUUCCUGAGAUGCUCCUGCUUGUAUGUCUGGGUUUACCGUGGUUUGUGUUGGUGUUUAGAUUUCUUUUGCUUUGUUAGAGGUGCAGGCUAA